RNAcentral lists this long non-coding RNA (1070 nucleotides) under Cyanistes caeruleus (blue tit). RNAcentral's name for it is "lncRNA (ENSCCEG00000001293.1)". The record is from RNAcentral. Lineage: Eukaryota; Metazoa; Chordata; Aves; Passeriformes; Paridae.
ACAUCCUGUGAUCACACCUGGGGAUCACAUCCUGAUAUCACACCCUGGGAUCAUACCCAGGGAUCAUCCUGGGAUCACAUCCUGGGAUCACAUCCUGGGAUCACACCCUGGGAUCACACCUGGGGAUCACAUCCUGGGAUCACCCCCUGGGAUCACACUCUGGGAUCAUCCUGGGAUCACACCCUGGGAUCAUCCUGGGAUCACACCCUGGGGUCACACCCUGGGAUCACAUCCUGGGAUCACAUCCCUGUCCCACCCCUGAGCCCCCCUGUCCCACCACAACCGCUCCCGCUGCUCCCCAAAGUCUCCAGGUGUCCCCCUGUCCUUGUACUGCACCGGACACGGCUCCAGUAUGGACAUCAUGGCACCAGACUGGACAUCAUGGCACCAGUAUGGACAUCAUGGCACCAGUAUGGACAUCAUGGCACCAGACUGGACAUCAUGGCACCAGUAUGGCCACGGCACCAGUAUGGACAUCAUGGCACCAGUAUGGACAUCAUGGCACCAGUAUGGAUGUGGCACCAGUAUGGACAAGGCACUGUACUGGACGUUACACUGUACUGGGCAUGGCACCAGUAUGGCCAUCAUAGCACCAGUAUUGACAUCAUGGCACCAGUAUGGACAUGGCACCAGUAUGGACGUGGCACCAGUAUUGACAUCAUGGCACCAGUAUGGACAUGGCACCGGUAUGGAUACGGCACCAGUAUGGAUACGGCACCGGUAUGGACGUGGCACCAGUAUGGACGUGGCACUGGUAUGGACACGGCACCAGUAUGGAUACGGCACCGGUAUGGACGUGGCACUGGUAUGGAUGUGGCACCGGUAUGGACAUGGCACCAGUACGGACGUGGCACCGCACUGGACAUCACACUGUACUGGCCGUGGCACUGUCCCUGCCGAGGCCGGUGUGUGGCAGGGCCGCGGUGCAGGACCCGGCCCCAGGCCACCGCUGUCCCCACAGUGCCAGUGCCGGGCUGGGCCCCAGGGUCGGCACCCUGUGCACAGCUGUGGCACAACUCCGGUGCCACCGGGUGACGCUCCGGGUGACAACAGUGUCCCCGUCCCCUGCG